This is a long non-coding RNA of Amphiprion ocellaris (clown anemonefish), 2773 nucleotides long. RefSeq lists it as uncharacterized. The record is from RefSeq and is a predicted model, not a curated record. The transcript is spliced from 2 exons. Lineage: Eukaryota; Metazoa; Chordata; Actinopteri; Pomacentridae.
UUAGUAUUAUUUUUUCUCGCCAGAUCUGUUGCCAUUUUGGGGAUCUUUGCUGGAUUUUUUAUUUUUUCAUUUUUUAAAUUUUUUUGAGGGGGUGGGGGGCAUCUCUUAGGGGCAGACGGCCACAUCUCUCGCUCUGCCUCCUGGUCAGGUUAGAGGAUGAUUUCUCUUUUUGUUACUGUUUUUGGAGAGAGCUUCUGGUACAAUAUGUAGCACUAUAGGCUGUAAUUUCACACCCGGCUGCACAUUUCCCUUAAAGCUACAUUCUUUUUUCCCCUCCUUCUCCCCCUCCUAUAAGACCCCCACCAUCACCAUCGUCGCCCCCCUCCCUCAGUUUUCUCCCCCCUCUCUCCCGCACAUGCCCUCCUGCUCCCCACAAUUUGAUCUCUCCACUGCAAAAAUUAAGCAGGAGGAAGGAGGCCAAAUGCUGACAUUAUUUUUUGAACACAUAUCCAAAUGAAUACACCGUUUUUCGUGUGUUUACUUUGUUUGAACAGCACGUGUGGUGCGUUCGCGGGGCCCUUUAACCUCUUUUUUUAGGGGCAGGGGGCGCUCCAUUCCGCAGCUCCAACACUGGGGUCAGAGAGCGCCUAAAAUAAAAGGUCAUUCGGGGGAAUUUAAACAAUAGGACACGUGAAUUAAUCAUUGCGUCGUUGUUUUUGAAGUUGCAAUAAUCAAAUCUUAAUAUUUCUGAUCUAAAAAUCCCUGAAAUAAGACGAAUUAAACCCAAGACGCGUCUCCACUCUGACGCACAGCUGCAGCGUUUAAGACGAUGCCACACUGCAUGUCAAGAGUUUGGAAAAUGUUUUUGGAGCCUGCGUGCACCCAUUAGGAGAGGUGUAAUGUAUUGACAGAGAGCAAUUUAUCUUUUGCCCCGCUUCCUAAUGGCCUGUGCAGAGAGGAGAGAGGAGGCAUGGAGGAGGAGAGGAGGAAGGAGGAGGAAAGGAAAAGAAGCGCCGGUGGGUCCAAGCAUCCGCACGCCGAACAUGAGCUCACACUUUCCGGGUAACUGUGGUGGAGGAUGAUCGAGGAGUGGUGGUAAAGAACUUCGCUUUCGUCUGUCAUAUCAGUUUCACCCCGCCUUUUUUCCUCUUCCUCCUCCUGUGCAGGCUGCUGGUUAACCAAUCGAUCUCCCCAAUCGAGGGCAGUUGACACCACUGGUUUGAGGAGAUUUGACGUGUUCAGCUGCAGCCUCCCCACAUUUCUCCACCUACAUGUGAUACAGUAAGUCGUGCAACAACAACAACAAAUAAAAGCUCUCCACGCUGUACUGUAUAUUGAAUUUCCUCGCACCGUGUCCUGUGCUCCAGCAAGCCAGGCUACUACACUCCGGGGCUACAAAUCUUGCUGGCGUGAACAGAUGGAGCAUCAGUUUGAUUCCAUCCUCGACACCGUGAAAGAUUGAUUUUGCGCUCGCUUUUAAUUUUGCCCAUAAUUAAUUGGAUCAUUACAACUGUUUUCCAUUGAUCCCCCCCUCUCUUCAGUUUAAAACGUAAAAUUACAAUGUGAUCUAUGUUUCUGUUCGCUGCUUUUAUUUGUGUGUAUUUAUUUAUUUGGUCUGCUGAAGAAGAUCCUACUGCAAAAAUCAUAUUUUUUCUACAUAAUUAAAUAUAUAUAAUUGUAUAUUAGUGUAUUUUACGCUGGUUUUGAAGCAGGGAAAUGCAGUUAAACCGAACGUGAACGGUGGGUUAAUAUAUGAGAAUAUAAAGCCAUUAUCAGCUCAGAAUGUGGCCUAUUGAUUUCAACACACACACACACACACACACACACACACAGACACACACACACACACACACACACACACACACACACACACACACACACACACACACACACACACACACCUCUUAACGAAAGAUCCUUAUAUUUCCUAACAGCCACCUUAUAUUUUUGCAUAUGUGCAUCUCCUUUAAUGUCCAUGUAAUGCAGAGUUUUAUCCAAUCAUAUUAACAAUGUAUUGAAAUAUAUUGAAAAUAUGUCAAUAAACUAUUAUAACUAGGACUAAACUAUUGAUAAACGAAUGUUAAAUUAAUAAAUCCACAUUGUGCACAACUGAAAUGACAUUUUUGUUGCUUUAAACGCUCCUCACUGCAUUUUCUGUUGUGCGUAAUUUGGUUACUUUGCCUCACAAUAGGAAUAAUAUGCAAUAAAUGAAAGAUACUAAGCUUCUUUUACCUUGAUUUCAGGCAUGUCAGGAGUGUAAAUGAGCAGAAUACCGUUUAUCCAAUCAGGAUUAAGGAUGAAAUUAGUGGCUAAAAGUCUGUUUAGGGGAUAAAAAUAUCGCCAUUUUUGAGAUAAUUUUUUUAAUGUCUUGACUGUCGAAUUGGCAAUUAGAAGCCGCCAUAUUUCACAGAUUUGCGUUUGUGCUUAAAGUAAACGUGUCACUUCGGUGCAGCCAAUUUAACCGUUUGCUGUCUUUGAUGGCAAAUCAUGAAAAAUUAAGAAUAGGCGUAAAAGUCAAUGCCAAACUUUACAGCAGCCAGAGAGGUCGUAUUUCAGAUGAUAAAACCCACACAAGAAGAACUUUCUGCUGCUCUGAGCCUCUUCACUGCAAAAGUCCACAUGGCGAGGUGUGUAAACUUAUCAAAGCUGCAUCUUUUCUUUUUCUUUUUAAUUCCUUUUGGUGUUACCUCCAAUUAAACUCCUCUGAUAUCUACAGUGUUUUCAGGUUGGCUGUUCAGCUGAUGAUCCCAUCAUUAGUCCUCAACAACCAAAACCCCCCCUCCAACACACACACACACACACACACACACACACACACACACACACACACACA